This 225-nucleotide ribosomal RNA is filed under the name uncultured bacterium. RNAcentral describes it as "partial 16S ribosomal RNA". It matches the Rfam family "Bacterial small subunit ribosomal RNA", at positions 109 to 334 of the family's 1533-position model. The record is from RNAcentral.
CGUAACACGUGAGAAACCUGUCCCUGACACUGGGAUAACAGUUGGAAACGACUGCUAAUACCGGAUACCGCCGGUGAGCCGCAUGGCUCGCCGAUGAAAGUUCAGGCGGUUGGGGAGGGUCUCGCGGCCUAUCAGCUAGUUGGAGAGGUAACGGCUCACCAAGGCAUCGACGGGUAGCUGGUCUGAGAGGAUGAUCAGCCACACUGGGACUGAGACACGGCCCAG